This 286-nucleotide long non-coding RNA is filed under the name Coffea arabica (coffee). RNAcentral describes it as "long non-coding RNA (CARA_LNC004476)". Lineage: Eukaryota; Viridiplantae; Streptophyta; Magnoliopsida; Gentianales; Rubiaceae. The record is from RNAcentral.
UUCUAAUUUAUUUCUUAAAACAUAAAAUAUGAAGCAAGGAGUAGAAUUUUUAAAGAUAAAGAAAACAAUAAAUAUCGGGAAUCAAGGGGAAAGGCCGAUGCGGUGGGAUUUGGUGGAGGGAUUAAGGGAGGAGCGGUCGAAGUGCUGAAGGAGAGAGGAGGCGGCGGUGGCUGUGGAGGAUGAAAUUGAGGUGGAGGAAGCGGUGGUGGUGGAGGCGCGUUUACGGGAUUCUUCGAGUUCUUCUUUGUCGUCGAGUUUCACUUCGAUCCUGGUGGCUUUUCUCCUC